CAGAGGUUACUGCUAUCGRGCAYWCSRMUAAGCCAUGCGAGUUGAAUGUUCUUCGUGAACAUGGCGGACUGCUCAGUAACACGUGGACAACCUACCCUUGGGUCCGGCAUAAUCCUGGGAAACUGGGAAUAAUUCCGGAUAGGUCACCGAUGCUGGAAUGCGCGGUGGCCGAAAGCUCCGGCGCCCGAGGAUGGGUCUGCGGCCUAUCAGGGUUGUAGUGGGUGUAACGUACCUACUAGCCUACGACGGGUACGGGUUGUGAGAGCAAGAGCCCGGAGAUGGAUUCUGAGACACGAAUCCAGGCCCUACGGGGUGCAGCAGGCGCGAAAACUUUACAAUGCGGGAAACCGUGAUAAGGGGAUCUCGAGUGCCAGCAUAUAAUGUUGGCUGUCCAGAUGCCUAAAAAGCAUCUGUUAGCAAGGGCCGGGCAAGACCGGUGCCAGCCGCCGCGGUAACACCGGCGGCCCGAGUGGUAACCGCUAUUAUUGGGUCUAAAGGGUCUGUAGCCGGCCAGGUAAGUCCCUUGGGAAAUCUGGCAGCUCAACUGUCAGGCUGCUAGGGGAUACUGUUUGGCUUGGGACCGGGAGAGGUGAGAGGUACCUUGGGGGUAGGGGUGAAAUCUUGUGAUCCUCGAGGGACCACCAGUGGCGAAGGCGUCUCACCAGAACGGGUCCGACGGUAAGGGACGAAAGCUAGGGGCACGAACCGGAUUAGAUACCCGGGUAGUCCUAGCCGUAAACGAUGCUCGCUAGGUGUCAGUCACGGUGCGACCGUGAUUGGUGCCGUAGGGAAGCCGUGAAGCGAGCCACCUGGGAAGUAUGGCCGCAAGGCUGAAACUUAAAGGAAUUGGCGGGGGAGCACURCAWCKGSUSGAGCCUGCGGUUUAAUG
This 889-nucleotide ribosomal RNA is filed under the name uncultured Methanosaeta sp. RNAcentral describes it as "bacterial SSU rRNA". It matches the Rfam family "Archaeal small subunit ribosomal RNA", at positions 18 to 907 of the family's 1478-position model. Lineage: Archaea; Methanobacteriati; Methanobacteriota; Methanomicrobia; Methanotrichales; Methanotrichaceae. The record is from RNAcentral.